RNAcentral lists this transfer RNA (69 nucleotides) under Moschus moschiferus (Siberian musk deer). RNAcentral describes it as "tRNA-His". It matches the Rfam family "tRNA". From Rfam's summary of the family: Transfer RNA (tRNA) molecules are approximately 80 nucleotides in length. Their secondary structure includes four short double-helical elements and three loops (D, anti-codon, and T loops). Lineage: Eukaryota; Metazoa; Chordata; Mammalia; Artiodactyla; Moschidae. The record is from RNAcentral. RNAcentral also lists the same sequence under 1 other name.
GUGAAUAUAGUUUAAAAAAACACUAGAUUGUGAAUCUAAUGAUAGAAGUCCACUACCUUCUUAUUUACC